GGAGCAGGCCAGACAGUCGCCGUCCGGAGACGGAUGGAGGAAAGUCCGGGCUCCGCAGGGCAGGGUGCCAGGUAACGCCUGGGCGGCGCGAGCCGACGGAAAGUGCCACAGAAAAUAUACCGCCUGUGAUCGGCCAUAGCCGAUGACGGGUAAGGGUGAAAUGGUGCGGUAAGAGCGCACCGCGCCACUGGCAACAGUGGCGGCAGGGUAAACCCCACCCGGAGCAAGACCAAAUAGGGGAACGCACGCGUGGCCCGCGCGGUUCCCGGGUAGGUCGCUAGAGGCUUGCGGCGACGCAGGUCCCAGAUGAAUGGCUGUCCACGACAGAACCCGGCUUAUGGCCUGCUCCCUUU
This 353-nucleotide RNase P RNA is filed under the name Gammaproteobacteria bacterium. RNAcentral describes it as "RNase P RNA component class A". It matches the Rfam family "Bacterial RNase P class A". From Rfam's summary of the family: Ribonuclease P (RNase P) is a ubiquitous endoribonuclease, found in archaea, bacteria and eukarya as well as chloroplasts and mitochondria. Its best characterised activity is the generation of mature 5'-ends of tRNAs by cleaving the 5'-leader elements of precursor-tRNAs. The record is from RNAcentral. Lineage: Bacteria; Pseudomonadati; Pseudomonadota; Gammaproteobacteria.